GGCUUUAUAUUCAUUUCGUGAUUAUAGAAUGCAAUUCUAUAGGGGUGGCUUGAUUUGUCACUAAGGCUU
RNAcentral lists this transfer RNA (69 nucleotides) under Pterotermes occidentis. Its description in RNAcentral is "tRNA-Cys". The record is from RNAcentral. Lineage: Eukaryota; Metazoa; Arthropoda; Insecta; Blattodea; Kalotermitidae.